RNAcentral lists this unclassified non-coding RNA (213 nucleotides) under plant metagenome. Its description in RNAcentral is "partial contains small subunit ribosomal RNA, internal transcribed spacer 1, and 5.8S ribosomal RNA". The record is from RNAcentral.
UUUCCGUAGGUGAACCUGCGGAAGGAUCAUUCAUAAUAAGUGUUUUAUGGCACUUUUUUAAAUCCAUAUCCACCUUGUGUGCAAUGUCAGGGUUGAUAUUUCUCUCGAGAGGAUCAACCCCAAACAUCAACUAUAUCUCAACUCUUUGUCUGAAAAAUAUUAUGAAUAAAACAAUUCAAAAUACAACUUUCAACAACGGAUCUCUUGGCUCUC